Long non-coding RNA from Camellia sinensis, 511 nucleotides. RefSeq lists it as uncharacterized. The record is from RefSeq and is a predicted model, not a curated record. Lineage: Eukaryota; Viridiplantae; Streptophyta; Magnoliopsida; Ericales; Theaceae.
CUUCGGUUUGUCGCGGUGAACAACAAACGACGAGCGAUUCUUCCAGCAAACAGAGAACAGCGAAGGAUUCCGGUGAGGAUUCUGGCGAGGGCCUCCUUUUGUGUGCAGAUCUAGCCAACCUUCGCUUUGCCUCAAGGUAACUCCACUAACAAGACCGGGCAUGCAAGUCUAGUGAGCAUCAAGUAGCACAGCAGGUGACUGCUUGUGCGCAUUCUACCACAUUAACAGCACACCUACAAUGGUGGAUUGAUACGUAUACUGAAAUUUUCAAGAACCCUCUACCCUUAUAGCAGUGUUCUGCAAGCUUGUGUCGAUUUGAAACUUGCGAGCUCUCUACUAGAUUUUGAAUGCCAUUUCAAUGAAGUCCUUGAGAAAAAGAUGCGAUGAGUUUAGUUGUUUUGUUAUGUAGAUAGAUAUAACUCCAAUUACAAUCUGUUUAUUGAAUAGUUGAAUGUUACAAACAAUGCUUAUGACACUAACCUUAUAAAUUGGAAAUGAUACUUUUGAAAUC